Molecule: transfer RNA, 67 nt
Filed under: Apharyngostrigea pipientis
Lineage: Eukaryota; Metazoa; Platyhelminthes; Trematoda; Diplostomida; Strigeidae
Description: tRNA-Ser
Source: RNAcentral
GCAGAUUAGGGUUAGUCCGGUGUUGAUUUGAAAUCAAUUUUGUUAUGUUUAAGUCAUAAGUUCUGUU